Molecule: ribosomal RNA, 707 nt
Filed under: uncultured Providencia sp.
Lineage: Bacteria; Pseudomonadati; Pseudomonadota; Gammaproteobacteria; Enterobacterales; Morganellaceae
Description: bacterial SSU rRNA
Rfam family: Bacterial small subunit ribosomal RNA
Source: RNAcentral
GUCACGCUGUAAACGAUGUCGAUUUGGAGGUGUUCCCUAGAGGAGUGGCCUCCGAAGCUAACGCGUAAAUCGACCGCCUGGGGAGUACGGCCGCAAGGUUAAAACUCAAAUGAAUUGACGGGGGCCCGCACAAGCGGUGGAGCAUGUGGUUUAAUUCGAUGCAACGCGAAGAACCUUACCUACUCUUGACAUCCAGAGAAUUUAGCAGAGAUGCUUUAGUGCCUUCGGGAACUCUGAGACAGGUGCUGCAUGGCUGUUGUCAGCUCGUGUUGUGAAAUGUUGGGUUAAGUCCCGCAACGAGCGCAACCCUUAUCCUUUGUUGCCAGCACGUUAUGGUGGGAACUCAAAGGAGACUGCCGGUGAUAAACCGGAGGAAGGUGGGGAUGACGUCAAGUCAUCAUGGCCCUUACGAGUAGGGCUACACACGUGCUACAAUGGCGUAUACAAAGAGAAGCGACCUCGCGAGAGCAAGCGGAACUCAUAAAGUACGUCGUAGUCCGGAUUGGAGUCUGCAACUCGACUCCAUGAAGUCGGAAUCGCUAGUAAUCGUAGAUCAGAAUGCUACGGUGAAUACGUUCCCGGGCCUUGUACACACCGCCCGUCACACCAUGGGAGUGGGUUGCAAAAGAAGUAGGUAGCUUAACCUUCGGGAGGGCGCUUACCACUUUGUGAUUCAUGACUGGGGUGAAGUCGUAACAAGGUAACCA